Molecule: non-coding RNA, 1216 nt
Organism: Paramuricea clavata
Lineage: Eukaryota; Metazoa; Cnidaria; Anthozoa; Malacalcyonacea; Plexauridae
Source: the annotation of a GenBank genome assembly
AUAAAACAACAUCUUAAGAGUUUAAAUUUUUUCACAAAAGUUGCGCAACGGCCGUUGCUAUGGCAACAAUAAUGUUUGAUAAUGGUGGAUAUUUUGGCUGUAUUGAGUCACCUUAAGUCUACAAAGAGAAAUCAUUUAAUGAAAUAAUAUUUGGCGAUCGAUUAUCGAUGUCAUUUACGAGUUAAAUUAUUUUAAAGUCAAAAUACCAGCCAUGUAUAGAAACAAGAAAAAUGUUUUCUAUUUUUUAAAUAGAAAACAUUUUGAAACAAAUAUCACCGAACACAUUUCGUUAGUCGACAGGGAACAUUUAUACAAAUCAGGCCACAGGAAGCCCAGGCUCUGCUUCCAGUUGCACCAGCUAGAAUUUCAAAUCAUUCGGCCAAUGAGAACCUUGCAACCAAGGUUUGGCGGAAAUUGACGCCCAAUAGUUACGAAGGUCGUAAAAAGUUUUUAUGCCAUUUUCCCCAAUAAAGUAUUAUGUAUGUAUGUAUGUAUGCAUUUCAGUUUCGUCAAACGGAUUGUAGCGUUAAUCAAGUUUUCAGUUCAUAAAAUUAUCAUUCCGGACACUCCUUAUUUGAAGGAAGGUUAGGAAUGGCGCGGGCAAAGGCUGGAUGCGGGCUACUGCAAUCAGAGCCUGGGGCCAAUUCCUAUAUGAUCAGCGUAGAAAAUUGUUGAAGGAAAGUUGAGAUGGUUAGAAAAUAAUAUUAGAAUUGUUGUAAAAAAGAUAAAUAGUCCAGGCUAUGCAAGUAUACUAUGUAAUAUAUAUAAUAAGUAUAAGUGCAUGUAAUAUAUAACUUGAUGUAAUCGGUAACUGAAAGCGAACUGAUUAAUGUAUGUAUGUGUUGUCAGCAUCGAAUCAGAACACGAGGACAAACUAUGACCAUACAGUGAAAAGCCGGUGCCAUUGCCAGGUGAGGAGGAUUACUCUCAUAUAUACAUAUAAAAGGAAUGGAAAGGCCUAUUUGUACUACACAAAUAUCGCAUGCGACCUGCUUACAACUUGAGUUGUACUGUAUAAAUCAUGCCAACAACUCACCUAUGGGACAACGUUGUAAGCAGGUUGCGUGCGAUAGUUUUCGCAAAAAUAUUUACAAGUAGGCCUAUUGAAUAAUAGAAGAGUAGAAUAACAUGCAGGCUAGAAAGUGCUGAACUUUAAUGACGGGGCUCCAUUCGCCCCAAUAAUUGCAGUGUUAACGUUCAGUCGUAUAAAAAUGAC